Molecule: ribosomal RNA, 430 nt
Filed under: Pseudomonadota bacterium
Lineage: Bacteria; Pseudomonadati; Pseudomonadota
Description: Proteobacteria bacterium partial 16S ribosomal RNA
Rfam family: Bacterial small subunit ribosomal RNA
Source: RNAcentral
UGGGGAAUAUUGGACAAUGGGGGGAACCCUGAUCCAGCCAUGCCGCGUGUGUGAAGAAGGCCUUAUGGUUGUAAAGCACUUUAAGCGAGGAGGAGGGUACUGGUAUUAAUACUACCAGCUACUGGACGUUACUCGCAGAAUAAGCACCGGCUAACUCUGUGCCAGCAGCCGCGGUAAUACAGAGGGUGCGAGCGUUAAUCGGAUUUACUGGGCGUAAAGCGUGCGUAGGCGGCUAAUUGAGUCGGAUGUGAAAUCCCCGAGCUUAACUUGGGAGUUGCAUUCGAUACUGGUUAGCUAGAGUGUGGGAGAGGAUGGUAGAAUUCCAGGUGUAGCGGUGAAAUGCGUAGAGAUCUGGAGGAAUACCGAUGGCGAAGGCAGCCAUCUGGCCUAACACUGACGCUGAGGUACGAAAGCAUGGGGAGCAAACAGG